RNAcentral lists this ribosomal RNA (82 nucleotides) under Bacillus subtilis subsp. subtilis. Lineage: Bacteria; Bacillati; Bacillota; Bacilli; Caryophanales; Bacillaceae. The record is from RNAcentral.
CCAUACCGAACACGGAAGUUAAGCUCUUCAGCGCCGAUGGUAGUCGGGGGUUUCCCCCAGUGAGAGUAGGACGCCGCCAAGC